CACGUAGGGCGCAAGCGUUGUCCGGAAUUAUUGGGCGUAAAGAGCUCGUAGGUGGUUUGUUACGUCCGCUGUGAAAUCCUAGGGCUUAACCCUGGGCUUGCAGUGGAUACGGGCAGACUAGAGGUAGGUAGGGGAGAAUGGAAUUCCUGGUGUAGCGGUGAAAUGCGCAGAUAUCAGGAGGAACACCGGUGGCGAAGGCGGUUCUCUGGGACGGUACUGACGCUGAGACGCGAAAGCGUGGGGAGCGAACAGG
RNAcentral lists this ribosomal RNA (253 nucleotides) under uncultured bacterium. RNAcentral's name for it is "partial 16S ribosomal RNA". It matches the Rfam family "Bacterial small subunit ribosomal RNA", at positions 524 to 776 of the family's 1533-position model. The record is from RNAcentral.